AAGUCGUAACAAGGUUUCCGUAGGUGAACCUGCGGAAGGAUCAUUAUCAAUAAUCCAAUUUACACUGUGAACAUUGAUGUUUAGUGGCUUACGUCAGUAGGCCACCCUUUUUCUAAAGAAAACACUAUCAAAAUGUCUUAAUCCAAUAGAAUCUAUAACAACUUUUAACAAUGGAUCUCUUGGCUCCU
This 188-nucleotide unclassified non-coding RNA is filed under the name fungal sp. RNAcentral describes it as "partial internal transcribed spacer region". The stretch from base 1 to 46 matches the Rfam family "Eukaryotic small subunit ribosomal RNA", at positions 1786 to 1831 of the family's 1831-position model. Lineage: Eukaryota; Fungi. The record is from RNAcentral.